CAGCCGCCGCGGUAAUACCGGCGGCCCGAGUGGCGGUCACUAUUAUUGGGCUUAAAGCGUCCGUAGCCGGGUUGGGAAGUCCUCCGGGAAAUCUGGCCGCUUAAUGGUCAGAAUGCCGGAGGAUACUCCCAGCCUAGGGAGCGGGAGAGGCCGAGGGGAUUCCCGGAGUAGGGGGGAAAUCCUAUAAUCCCGGGAGGACCACCUGUGGCGAAGGCGCUCGGCUGGAACGCGUCCGACGGUGAGGGACGAAGGCCAGGGGAGCAAACCGGAUUAGAUACCCGGGUAGUCCUGGCUGUAAACGAUGCGGACUUUGUGUCGGACAAGCUAUGAGCUUGUCCGGUGCCGGAGGGAAACCGUUAAGUCCGCCGCCUGGGGAGUACGGCCGCAAGGCUGAAACUUAAAGGAAUUGGCGGG
RNAcentral lists this ribosomal RNA (414 nucleotides) under uncultured microorganism. Its description in RNAcentral is "bacterial SSU rRNA". It matches the Rfam family "Archaeal small subunit ribosomal RNA", at positions 459 to 872 of the family's 1478-position model. The record is from RNAcentral.